RNAcentral lists this ribosomal RNA (1448 nucleotides) under Salmonella enterica. Its description in RNAcentral is "partial 23S ribosomal RNA". It matches the Rfam family "Bacterial large subunit ribosomal RNA", at positions 711 to 2141 of the family's 2925-position model. Lineage: Bacteria; Pseudomonadati; Pseudomonadota; Gammaproteobacteria; Enterobacterales; Enterobacteriaceae. RNAcentral also lists the same sequence under 1 other name. The record is from RNAcentral.
AGACCCGAAACCCGGUGAUCUAGCCAUGGGCAGGUUGAAGGUUGGGUAACACUAACUGGAGGACCGAACCGACUAAUGUUGAAAAAUUAGCGGAUGACCUGUGGCUGGGGGUGAAAGGCCAAUCAAACCGGGAGAUAGCUGGUUCUCCCCGAAAGCUAUUUAGGUAGCGCCUCGUGAAUUCAUCUCCGGGGGUAGAGCACUGUUUCGGCUAGGGGGCCAUCCCGGCUUACCAACCCGAUGCAAACUGCGAAUACCGGAGAAUGUUAUCACGGGAGACACACGGCGGGUGCUAACGUCCGUCGUGAAGAGGGAAACAACCCAGACCGCCAGCUAAGGUCCCAAAGUCAUGGUUAAGUGGGAAACGAUGUGGGAAGGCACAGACAGCCAGGAUGUUGGCUUAGAAGCAGCCAUCAUUUAAAGAAAGCGUAAUAGCUCACUGGUCGAGUCGGCCUGCGCGGAAGAUGUAACGGGGCUAAACCAUGCACCGAAGCUGCGGCAGCGACGUUUAUGCGUUGUUGGGUAGGGGAGCGUUCUGUAAGCCUGCGAAGGUGGCCUGUGAGGGUUGCUGGAGGUAUCAGAAGUGCGAAUGCUGACAUAAGUAACGAUAAAGCGGGUGAAAAGCCCGCUCGCCGGAAGACCAAGGGUUCCUGUCCAACGUUAAUCGGGGCAGGGUGAGUCGACCCCUAAGGCGAGGCCGAAAGGCGUAGUCGAUGGGAAACGGGUUAAUAUUCCCGUACUUGGUGUUACUGCGAAGGGGGGACGGAGAAGGCUAUGUUGGCCGGGCGACGGUUGUCCCGGUUUAAGCGUGUAGGCUGGUUUUCCAGGCAAAUCCGGAAAAUCAAGGCUGAGGCGUGACGACGAGGCACUACGGUGCUGAAGCAACAAAUGCCCUGCUUCCAGGAAAAGCCUCUAAGCAUCAGGUAACAUCAAAUCGUACCCCAAACCGACACAGGUGGUCAGGUAGAGAAUACCAAGGCGCUUGAGAGAACUCGGGUGAAGGAACUAGGCAAAAUGGUGCCGUAACUUCGGGAGAAGGCACGCUGACACGUAGGUGAAGUGAUUUACUCAUGGAGCUGAAGUCAGUCGAAGAUACCAGCUGGCUGCAACUGUUUAUUAAAAACACAGCACUGUGCAAACACGAAAGUGGACGUAUACGGUGUGACGCCUGCCCGGUGCCGGAAGGUUAAUUGAUGGGGUCAGCGCAAGCGAAGCUCCUGAUCGAAGCCCCGGUAAACGGCGGCCGUAACUAUAACGGUCCUAAGGUAGCGAAAUUCCUUGUCGGGUAAGUUCCGACCUGCACGAAUGGCGUAAUGAUGGCCAGGCUGUCUCCACCCGAGACUCAGUGAAAUUGAACUCGCUGUGAAGAUGCAGUGUACCCGCGGCAAGACGGAAAGACCCCGUGAACCUUUACUAUAGCUUGACACUGAACAUUGAGCCUUGAUGUGUAG